RNAcentral lists this ribosomal RNA (774 nucleotides) under uncultured Neocallimastigales. RNAcentral describes it as "partial large subunit ribosomal RNA". It matches the Rfam family "Eukaryotic large subunit ribosomal RNA", at positions 24 to 621 of the family's 3401-position model. Lineage: Eukaryota; Fungi; Neocallimastigomycota; Neocallimastigomycetes; Neocallimastigales. The record is from RNAcentral.
GUAGUCUCGCACAGAUGCAUAUCAAUAAGCGGAGGAAAAGAAACUAACAAGGAUUCCCCUAGUAACGGCGAGUGAAGCGGGAAGAGCUCAAAUUUGAAAUCUUAAAGGGUUUCCCUUUACGAAUUGUAGUUUAAAGAAGUGUUUUCUGUUGAGGUUUUGGUAAAAGUUCUUUGGAAUAGGACAUCAUAGAGGGUGAGAAUCCCGUAUUUGGUUAUUCAUUCUAGCUUUGUGAUACACUUUCAAAGAGUCGGAUUGUUUGGGAAUGCAGUCCAAAAUGGGUGGUAAAUUUCAUCUAAAGCUAAAUAUUGGCGAGAGACCGAUAGCGAACAAGUACCGUGAGGGAAAGAUGAAAAGAACUUUGAAAAGAGAGUUAAACAGUACGUGAAAUUGUCAAAAGGGAAGCGUUUGACACCAGUGUUGUUUUUCUGAAAAUCAAUUAAAGAACUGUUUAUGCUAAGUUGUUUAGACUUUAUCAGCUAUCUGCUUAGUUUUGAGCUUUUCUUUAAUGCACUUUUCAGUUAACAAGUCAACAUCAAUUUCUUUUGCUGUAAAAAAGCUUGAGGAAGGUGGCUUGAGAUUCGUCUUAAGUGUUUAUAGCCUCUUGCCUAUGCAGUCGGAGAGAUUGAGGUCUGCAGCGUAGAUCCUUCGGGGCUAAAUGCAUUUGUGCUAAGUUAUAGCAUUUUAUAGACAACUUGUUGACUAUGAUUUGUCUUGUAGCUUACUCGCUUACGUUAUUUUACCUACGCUUAGGAUGUUGAACUCUAUCACACACAG